Molecule: unclassified non-coding RNA, 315 nt
Filed under: plant metagenome
Description: partial contains 5.8S ribosomal RNA, internal transcribed spacer 2, and large subunit ribosomal RNA
Rfam family: 5.8S ribosomal RNA (bases 1-105)
Source: RNAcentral
GAACUGUGAUAAGUAAUGUGAAUUGCAGAAUUCAGUGAAUCAUCGAGUCUUUGAACGCACAUUGCGCCCCCUGGCAUUCCGGGGGGCAUGCCUGUCCGAGCGUCAUUGCUGCCCUUCAAGCCCGGCUUGUGUGUUGGGUCGUCGUCCCCUCCGGGGGACGGGCCCGAAAGGCAGCGGCGGCACCGCGUCCGGUCCUCGAGCGUAUGGGGCUUUGUCACCCGCUCGAUAAGGACCGGCCGGGCGCCAGCCGGCGUCUCCAACCUUUUUUUCUCAGGUUGACCUCGGAUCAGGUAGGGAUACCCGCUGAACUUAAGC